CCUACGGGAGGCAGCAGUGAGGAAUAUUGGUCAAUGGACGAGAGACUGAACCAGCCAAGUAGCGUGAAGGAUGACUGCCCUAUGGGUUGUAAACUGCUUUUAUACGGGGAUAAAACGUUCCACGUGUGGGGUUUUGUAUGUACCGUAUGAAUAAGGAUCGGCUAAUUCCGUGCCAGCAGCCGCGGUAAUACGGAGGGUCCGGGCGUUAUCCGGAUUUAUUGGGUUUAAAGGGAGCGUAGGUGGAUUGUUAAGUGAGUUGUGAAAGUUUGCGGCUCAACCGUAGAAUUGCAGUUGAAACUGGCAGGCUUGAGUACAGUAGAGGUGGGCGGAAUUCGUGGUGUAGCGGUGAAAUGCUUAGAUAUCACGAAGAACUCCGAUUGCGAAGGCAGUUCACGGCAGUGCAACUGACACUGAGGCUCGAAGGUGCGGGUAUCAAACAGGAUUAGAUACCCGUGUAGUC
This 460-nucleotide ribosomal RNA is filed under the name uncultured bacterium. RNAcentral describes it as "partial 16S ribosomal RNA". It matches the Rfam family "Bacterial small subunit ribosomal RNA", at positions 338 to 795 of the family's 1533-position model. The record is from RNAcentral.